AUUGAACGCUGGCGGCAUGCCUUACACAUGCAAGUCGAACGGCAGCACGGGUGCUUGCACCUGGUGGCGAGUGGCGAACGGGUGAGUAAUACAUCGGAACAUGUCCUGUAGUGGGGGAUAGCCCGGCGAAAGCCGGAUUAAUACCGCAUACGAUCUACGGAUGAAAGCGGGGGACCUUCGGGCCUCGCGCUAUAGGGUUGGCCGAUGUCUGAUUAGCUAGUUGGUGGGGUAAAGGCCUACCAAGGCGACGAUCAGUAGCUGGUCUGAGAGGACGACCAGCCACACUGGGACUGAGACACGGCCCAGACUCCUACGGGAGGCAGCAGUGGGGAAUUUUGGACAAUGGGCGAAAGCAUGAUCCAGCAAUGCCGCGUGUGUGAAGAAGGCCUUCGGGUUGUAAAGCACUUUUGUCCGGAAAGAAAUCCUUGGCCCUAAUACGGUCGGGGGAUGACGGUACCGGAAGAAUAAGCACCGGCUAACUACGUG
This 486-nucleotide ribosomal RNA is filed under the name uncultured bacterium. RNAcentral describes it as "partial 16S ribosomal RNA". It matches the Rfam family "Bacterial small subunit ribosomal RNA", at positions 30 to 507 of the family's 1533-position model. The record is from RNAcentral.